UCUUUCAGUUUCCUAAGACCCAUUUAAAGUCUGUUAACCAGGUUGAGACCAGUGGUUGCGUUAAAUAGCACAAAUCCACCUUGCCUCCUCUGCUAAAGGUAUUUGUCAAUAUGCAUGCUUUAAAUCAAGAGUGGAGAAAAAUUUUGCACCUGACAUACCAGAGAAGAUAGUGUCAAUUGAUGGUAUGGAAAAAGAAUAGGUGUCAAUAUGUGCAUUUAAAUGAGCCUUGUAAUUGAGAUACAUGCAAAGGGAUCGAUCUUUUUUCCUCAGCCAUACCACAGAUGAG
This is a long non-coding RNA of Octopus sinensis (East Asian common octopus), 286 nucleotides long. RefSeq lists it as uncharacterized. The transcript is spliced from 3 exons. The record is from RefSeq and is a predicted model, not a curated record. Lineage: Eukaryota; Metazoa; Mollusca; Cephalopoda; Octopoda; Octopodidae.